Molecule: long non-coding RNA, 653 nt
Organism: Dromiciops gliroides (monito del monte)
Lineage: Eukaryota; Metazoa; Chordata; Mammalia; Microbiotheria; Microbiotheriidae
Exons: 3
Source: RefSeq, a predicted model, not a curated record
CUAGUUGAUUUUGUUUUUCCAUUCCAUUUUCAAGGAAGGGAAGAACAAGGGAAGAAGGGAGGAGGGAAGGAAGGAAAUAAGUAUUUAUUAAACACCUAAUAUCUGUCAGGCGCUGUGCUGAUUAUCUCAUCCGAUCCUCACAACCACCCUGGGAGGUGUAGCCUGUCCACACAUAUGGGACCUUUUGGUUCUUUCUCAAGUUUUCCCAAGGGCCAUCACGGCUUCCACUUGAACCCUGACUGGAAGACCAGAAGCAGAUGGUGAGAAGACCGGCAGGAACUUCUGGAUGCGUUUGAUGCUGGCUGCUUGGCCUGAGUUGCCAAGGGCCUUCAGGGCUGUGACCAUUGCUUCUUCCUGGCCAUUUUUAAUUGCCUCAUUUGCAUAGUUAUGGAGUACCUGCCAAGCAAGUAAACUUGGUCAUUGCUGUUUCAUCUCAUAUAGGACCUCGUAUGUGAAGUCAGGGGUCCUUACCCACUGACAACAUCCACCAUCAUUUCCCCAACAAUUCAAGAGUAAUCCGUCAACUGCUCAUUCAACAAGGAUUAAUUAAUCUCUUACAAUUUGUCAGGCACUGGACUAAACUCUGAGGACACGUGUGCACACACACACACACACACACACACACACACACACACACACACACAAGCAAUAAC